RNAcentral lists this ribosomal RNA (397 nucleotides) under Salmonella enterica. Its description in RNAcentral is "bacterial SSU rRNA". It matches the Rfam family "Bacterial small subunit ribosomal RNA", at positions 1118 to 1515 of the family's 1533-position model. Lineage: Bacteria; Pseudomonadati; Pseudomonadota; Gammaproteobacteria; Enterobacterales; Enterobacteriaceae. RNAcentral also lists the same sequence under 4 other names. The record is from RNAcentral.
CCAGCGGUCCGGCCGGGAACUCAAAGGAGACUGCCAGUGAUAAACUGGAGGAAGGUGGGGAUGACGUCAAGUCAUCAUGGCCCUUACGACCAGGGCUACACACGUGCUACAAUGGCGCAUACAAAGAGAAGCGACCUCGCGAGAGCAAGCGGACCUCAUAAAGUGCGUCGUAGUCCGGAUUGGAGUCUGCAACUCGACUCCAUGAAGUCGGAAUCGCUAGUAAUCGUGGAUCAGAAUGCCACGGUGAAUACGUUCCCGGGCCUUGUACACACCGCCCGUCACACCAUGGGAGUGGGUUGCAAAAGAAGUAGGUAGCUUAACCUUCGGGAGGGCGCUUACCACUUUGUGAUUCAUGACUGGGGUGAAGUCGUAACAAGGUAACCGUAGGGGAACCUGC